Oryzias melastigma (Indian medaka) is the source of this 692-nucleotide long non-coding RNA. RefSeq lists it as uncharacterized. The record is from RefSeq and is a predicted model, not a curated record. The transcript is spliced from 2 exons. Lineage: Eukaryota; Metazoa; Chordata; Actinopteri; Beloniformes; Adrianichthyidae.
ACUAUUGGUCAUUCUUUUUAUCAAAACUCUAUUUAAUUUGUCACAACUGUAGAAAUGUCAAAUAUCAAUGCAACAUCGGGUUAUUUUGAAUGCUCUGAUGUGAGUGAUGGCUCUUUUUGAAGGCACACAUACAUAUAACACACACAAUGCCAUAGUUGGUAAAGACUUGUGAUUAUGGAAAGACAGCUUCCUAUUUAACCCUUUCAUACACUUGGACCAUUCGACACUAGCUCGCCGUCCAUGGCCUCCUCUGAUUGGCUUCUGGUCUGCUUUUAUACCCAUACAAUGACUUAACAUUGAAUCCAGUUCUGUUUUCAAAUUAUCCCUGGUUAUCACUCACACAAUAAUCACUCAACUGCAAAGUACGUCUGGCUUUAACAAAUUCGAUCCAAAAAAUUGUUUUUUUUUAUUGGGAUACCUUCUUAAAAUUGGUUCACCCUUUAACACAGGGGUGUCAAACUUAUUUCGGCUUGGGGGCCACAUUCAACCCGUCUGAUCUUAAGUGGGCCGGACCAGUAACACAACAGCAAAAUAGCCUUUGUUCAAGUUGUUAGCUGUAACUUUGUUUUUGUCUCGUUUCUUCUUAGUUGGAAAAAUACCUCAAACAACCUAGUAAUCUAAUCACUUAUAUUAUACUUUCAUUCAGAGUCCAAUGCAUUUCAAAUAAAAUGGAUUUCAUAAAAAAAAAAAAA